GAUUGUGGGUAACUUAUAAAUUACUCCUAGGGAUAAAUGUACGUCUCAUUGGGACGAAUC
Molecule: unclassified non-coding RNA, 60 nt
Filed under: synthetic construct
Source: RNAcentral